GGGGUUGUGGCUCAGUGGUAGAGUGCUUGCUUUGCAUGCAUGGGGCACUGAGUUCAAUCCUCAGCACCA
Molecule: transfer RNA, 69 nt
Filed under: Ictidomys tridecemlineatus (thirteen-lined ground squirrel)
Lineage: Eukaryota; Metazoa; Chordata; Mammalia; Rodentia; Sciuridae
Description: Spermophilus tridecemlineatus (thirteen-lined ground squirrel) tRNA
Rfam family: tRNA
About the family: Transfer RNA (tRNA) molecules are approximately 80 nucleotides in length. Their secondary structure includes four short double-helical elements and three loops (D, anti-codon, and T loops).
Source: Rfam by way of RNAcentral